AAGAUUACAACCCUUAAUUACAGUUAUAAUUAUUGUACAAGAUUCUAACCUUGAUUAUGCACAUAAUCACUACAAGUCUGGUUUAUAAUCACUACAAAUCUAGUCUAUUUACAGUAACUAUCUCAACAUGACCAAACAUGAUAAUUGAUUCUAUCAAACUUUAUAAGAUUGAUUUGAAAAGAGGGAUUAUCACUAAAACAUUUGCAUUACCCUUAUACUUGCUUUCUUCCCUUCAGUCAUUU
RNAcentral lists this unclassified non-coding RNA (242 nucleotides) under Hevea brasiliensis (rubber tree). The record is from RNAcentral. Lineage: Eukaryota; Viridiplantae; Streptophyta; Magnoliopsida; Malpighiales; Euphorbiaceae.